CAGUCGCCGCGGGAAUACGUAGGUCCCGAGCGUUGUCCGGAUUUAUUGGGCGUAAAGCGAGCGCAGGCGGUUAGAUAAGUCUGAAGUUAAAGGCUGUGGCUUAACCAUAGUACGCUUUGGAAACUGUUUAACUUGAGUGCAAGAGGGGAGAGUGGAAUUCCAUGUGUAGCGGUGAAAUGCGUAGAUAUAUGGAGGAACACCGGUGGCGAAAGCGGCUCUCUGGCUUGUAACUGACGCUGAGGCUCGAAAGCGUGGGGAGCAAACAGGAUUAGAUACCCCGGUAGUCCCUGUCUCUUAUACA
This 301-nucleotide ribosomal RNA is filed under the name uncultured bacterium. RNAcentral describes it as "partial 16S ribosomal RNA". It matches the Rfam family "Bacterial small subunit ribosomal RNA", at positions 509 to 808 of the family's 1533-position model. The record is from RNAcentral.